GACGAACGCUGGCGGCGUGCUUAACACAUGCAAGUCGAACGGAAAGGCCCUGCUUUUGUGGGGUGCUCGAGUGGCGAACGGGUGUGUAACACGUGAGUAACCUGCCCUUGACUUUGGGAUAACUUCAGGAAACUGGUGCUAAUACCGGAUAGGAGCUCCUGCUGCAUGGUGGGGGUUGGAAAGUUUAGGCGGAUGGGGAUGGACGCGCGGCUUAUGAGCUUGUUGGUGGGGUAGUGGCAUACCAAGGCUUUGACGGGUCGCCGGCCUGAGAGGGUGAACAGGCACAAGGGUACUGAGAGACGGCGCAGAGUCCAACAGGGGACAGCAGGGGAGAAUAUUACACAGUGAGCGGAAGCGUGAUACAAAAGCCCCGCGAGCGGAAUGACGGCCUAGGGGUUGUAAAGCGCUUUCACCUGUGACGAAGCGGGAGUGACGGUAAUGGGUGAAGAAGCACCGGCUAACUACGUG
This 468-nucleotide ribosomal RNA is filed under the name uncultured bacterium. RNAcentral's name for it is "partial 16S ribosomal RNA". It matches the Rfam family "Bacterial small subunit ribosomal RNA", at positions 28 to 507 of the family's 1533-position model. The record is from RNAcentral.